AUAAUUACCUGACAGGGGAGAUAUCAUGAUCAUAAAGGUAGUUUUCCCAGGGCAAGGCUUAUCCAUUGCACUCCAGAUGUGCUGACCCCUGUGAUUACCCCAAAUGUGAGAAAUUCGACUGUAUAAUUUGUGGUAGUGGGGGACUGAGUUCACGUCCUCACC
Molecule: small nuclear RNA, 162 nt
Organism: Marmota marmota marmota (Alpine marmot)
Lineage: Eukaryota; Metazoa; Chordata; Mammalia; Rodentia; Sciuridae
Gene: U1
Rfam family: U1 spliceosomal RNA
About the family: U1 is a small nuclear RNA (snRNA) component of the spliceosome (involved in pre-mRNA splicing). Its 5' end forms complementary base pairs with the 5' splice junction, thus defining the 5' donor site of an intron.
Source: Ensembl